Thunnus maccoyii (southern bluefin tuna) is the source of this 1729-nucleotide long non-coding RNA. RefSeq lists it as uncharacterized. NCBI's taxonomy places the organism in Eukaryota, Metazoa, Chordata, Actinopteri, Scombriformes, Scombridae. The record is from RefSeq and is a predicted model, not a curated record. The transcript is spliced from 2 exons.
GAGUGAACAAUCUGAUGUCAUCACAAGGAGGAAGUAGAGAUAUUCCAUGACUUGCUAUCCUGCUUCUCCAACCAAGAGUAAAGGCCCCUUUUUAUUUAUUUGUGAGACAGCAACAGUGUGAACAAUAAAAUCAUUUGACUGGAGACAUUAUUUGGAUCACUCAUCAGCGAGCCAGUCAGGACCAGCCAUUUAUUUCCAAUGAGGAGGUCACCAGAUGUCCUUUUUACUUGUGCAAAGCUGAGAUAGCAGAGAGAAGGAUUCUCAGUUAUUCUGCCAAUGACAGCAGAGUAAUUAUUGGAAAAUAGCCUCUCAGUAGCUCUCAAUUAUUAAGCCAAUUUCCUCCCCGUAUGAAUUUUACCAUUUCAAAUUAACCACGAUAAAAGGAGUAAAGCUGAAGGUGUAAAUCAUUUCUAAUGACGCCGCCGUCUGUCCUCCAUAAAACACAACUUAAUCCACCUUUAGUGGGAUAUCAUGACGAUUUAAAAGAAUAACCAAUCAUGACGCUUUGCUGGCAGUGCUAAAAGUUAAUUAUAUCUUAAUUAAUCAUUUUUGCUAAUGGUUUAACUGCAGCAACCGUGUCCUGUGUUUAUCAGGAGCUGCGACAGGUGUGACAGUUGGUAUUGAUUCGUCCGUAGAGCUGAGUGAAUAGCCAAUAGCCGAUGCUGGAGCUUAGAAACACCCUCCAGACUGACUGCUGGGAAGCAGGUGGGCGUCAGCUGCCCUCAUACAUCACAGCACUAACAGCCUCUUCUGCAGACAGUGGGGGGAAAAAAGAGCUUGAGGCGAGAGCUGGAAAAAAUGUCAAUAGAAAUGAGACAAAAAGAGAGAAAGAGAAAAACAGAAAGACAGGGAGAGACGAUGAGAGGGAACAGCGAGGCCUGAAAAACAGAUCAAAAAAAGGAAAGAAGGUGAUGUAAGAAGAAAAAGCCGGCUGUAAGUAAAACAAAGGAGUCAGCUGCUGGAGUCGUGCACAAACAGCUGGUGCCAAAAACAGAGUAAAGGACAAAGUGGGUUCUGUUUGGACUGGAGCCGGGCCAAAGCUGGGCCGGGUUAGCAGGGAGCGCCGCCAACACGAGAAGAGGCCUACGGGAAGAUCAUUAUAUAACUGAGAGGGGAAACCUCACAGGCACAACAGAGAUGCUCUUGACUCCCUAAUGAUAUGGCUCGGUUUAAACCCAUGUCAAAGGGGGAGGCAGGGAGACAUUAAAAAGAAAGAAAGGCAUCUAUAAAAAGACAAGGAAGAACGGGGAAAAAAAAGGGAGAGUGAAGAAUGCAGUCUAUUGUUUAUCCAUUAACCACUGCUGUAGAAACCACGGUGCCUGUACUUUUUCACUUUUUUCUCCCACUUCAGACCAAAACCACACACUGAUUCAUAGUAUGAACGAAUAUCUAAUUACACUAUAUGGAAAUUCUGCCUCUUGCAGGUAACUGGGCUUUCAGUAACGCCCCAAUGGAAAAAAUUACAAAAAACUAUCAAAUUUGAUUCACUUUUACCAUUUCAAGCAACUUGUUUGAAAUGUUUAAAGAAGUGUGUGUGUUUUUUUUUUGUUUCCUCCUCCAGUUUUCCUUUUUGUUAUAUAUAUAGAACUUGAUAAUCCUCCAUUUUUAGACCAAGCUUCUCACAAAGAAAACACUUAUUUCAGGAAAUUCAACAUGUGGUGUGGAAUAAUGGAAUCAGUGUGUCUGAUCAAAUAAAAACAACUACACCCAUUAAAGGGGACAUAUCGUG